GACGAACGCUGGCGGCGUGCCUAACACAUGCAAGUCGAACGAAGCAUAGCAAUAUGCUUAGUGGCGGACGGGUGAGUAACGCGUGAACAAUCUGCCCUGUACAAAGGAAUAGCCUCGGGAAACCGGGAUUAAAACCGUAUGACACUUUAGUAUCGCAUGAUAAGAAAGUCAAAUCGAAUAGAGGUAUGGGAUGAGUUCGCGUCUGAUUAGCUGGUUGGCGGGGUAACGCCCACCAAGGCGACGAUCAGUAGCCGGCCUGAGAGGGUGAACGGCCACACUGGAACUGAGACACGGUCCAGACUCCUACGGGAGGCAGCAGUGGGGAAUAUUGCACAAUGGAGGGAACUCUGAUGCAGCGACGCCGCGUGAGUGAAGAAGGUCUUCGGAUCGUAAAACUCUGUCCUUGGUGAAGAAAAGGACGGUAGCCAAGGAGGAAGCCCCGGCUAACUACGUG
Molecule: ribosomal RNA, 454 nt
Filed under: uncultured bacterium
Lineage: Bacteria
Description: bacterial SSU rRNA
Rfam family: Bacterial small subunit ribosomal RNA
Source: RNAcentral